CCUACGGGUGGCUGCAGUGGGGAAUUUUGGACAAUGGGCGAAAGCCUGAUCCAGCCAUUCCGCGUGAGUGAAGAAGGCCUUCGGGUUGUAAAGCUCUUUCGGCAGGAACGAAACGGUGAGAGCUAAUAUCUCAUUACUAAUGACGGUACCUGAAGAAGAAGCACCGGCUAACUACGUGCCAGCAGCCGCGGUAAUACGUAGGGUGCGAGCGUUCGUCGGAAUUGCUGGGCGUAAGACUCACGCAGGAUGUGAAAGCCCCGGGCUUAACCUGGGAACGGCAUUUGAAACUAGGUCGCUAGAGUAUGGCAGAGGGGGGUAGAAUUCCACGUGUAGCAGUGAAAUGCGUAGAGAUGUGGAGGAAUACCGAUGGCGAAGGCAGCCCCCUGGGUCAAUACUGACGCUCAUGCACGAAAGCGUGGGGAGCAAACAGGAUUAGAUACCCCAGUAGUC
This 450-nucleotide ribosomal RNA is filed under the name uncultured bacterium. RNAcentral's name for it is "partial 16S ribosomal RNA". It matches the Rfam family "Bacterial small subunit ribosomal RNA", at positions 338 to 795 of the family's 1533-position model. The record is from RNAcentral.